UAUUUCAUUAAGCGGAGGAAAUGAAACCAACAGGGAUUGCCUUAGUAACGGCGAGUGAAGCGGCAAAAGCUCAAAUUUGAAAUCUGGCACUUUCAGUGUCCGAGUUGUAAUUUGAAGAAGGUAACUUUGGAGUUGGCCCUUGUCUAUGUUCCUUGGAACAGGACGUCACAGAGGGUGAGAAUCCCGUGCGAUGAGGUGUCCAAUUCUAUGUAAAGUGCUUUCGAAGAGUCGAGUUGUUUGGGAAUGCAGCUCUAAGUGGGUGGUAAAUUCCAUCUAAAGCUAAAUAUUGGCGAGAGACCGAUAGCGAACAAGUACAGUGAUGGAAAGAUGAAAUGAACUUUGAAAAGAGAGUGAAAAAGUACGUGAAAUUGUUGAAAGGGAAGGGCUUGAGAUCAGACUCGGUAUUUUGCAAGCCUAUCCUUCGUGGAGAGGUUUAUUAGCAGCUUACCGGCCCAGCAUCGGUUUGGAUGGUAGGAUAAUGGCAUUGGAAUGUGGCUCUUCGGAGUGUUAUAGCCUUUGUUGAUACUGCCUAUCUAGACCGAGGACUGCGUCUUUGACUAGGAUGCUGGCGUAAUGAUCUUAAGCCGCCCGUCUU
The sequence is a ribosomal RNA, 595 nucleotides long. It matches the Rfam family "Eukaryotic large subunit ribosomal RNA", at positions 39 to 655 of the family's 3401-position model.